CAUCAAUUGUUGACGGCUCGAAAGAAAAUAUUUUCCGAUUCUUCCAAUGAUAAUGGCUAGUUUGAUUAAUCAAAACAACAUAUGAUGAGAAAUCAAUACAUAAAAUGGUCGAGAUCCAUUUAUUAGACAGCCAAUUACUUUGUCCAAAACUCUGGGAAAU
Dermatophagoides farinae (American house dust mite) is the source of this 160-nucleotide non-coding RNA. NCBI's taxonomy places the organism in Eukaryota, Metazoa, Arthropoda, Arachnida, Sarcoptiformes, Pyroglyphidae. The record is from RefSeq and is a predicted model, not a curated record.